RNAcentral lists this ribosomal RNA (728 nucleotides) under Citrobacter sp. F5-8. RNAcentral describes it as "bacterial SSU rRNA". It matches the Rfam family "Bacterial small subunit ribosomal RNA", at positions 29 to 748 of the family's 1533-position model. The record is from RNAcentral. Lineage: Bacteria; Pseudomonadati; Pseudomonadota; Gammaproteobacteria; Enterobacterales; Enterobacteriaceae.
UUGAACGCUGGCGGCAGGCCUAACACAUGCAAGUCGAACGGUAGCACAGAGGAGCUUGCUCCUUGGGUGACGAGUGGCGGACGGGUGAGUAAUGUCUGGGAAACUGCCCGAYGGAGGGGGAUAACUACUGGAAACGGUAGCUAAUACCGCAUAANGUCGCAAGACCAAAGAGGGGGACCUUCGGGCCUCUUGCCAUCGGAUGUGCCCAGAUGGGAUUAGCUAGUAGGUGGGGUAACGGCUCACCUAGGCGACGAUCCCUAGCUGGUCUGAGAGGAUGACCAGCCACACUGGAACUGAGACACGGUCCAGACUCCUACGGGAGGCAGCAGUGGGGAAUAUUGCACAAUGGGCGCAAGCCUGAUGCAGCCAUGCCGCGUGUAUGAAGAAGGCCUUCGGGUUGUAAAGUACUUUCAGCGAGGAGGAAGGCGUUGAGGUUAAUAACCUCAACGAUUGACGUUACUCGCAGAAGAAGCACCGGCUAACUYCSKGCCAGCAGCCGCGGUAAUACGGAGGGUGCAAGCGUUAAUCGGAAUUACUGGGCGUAAAGCGCACGCAGGCGGUCUGUCAAGUCGGAUGUGAAAUCCCCGGGCUCAACCUGGGAACUGCAUCCGAAACUGGCAGGCUAGAGUCUUGUANAGGGGGGUAGAAUUCCAGGUGUAGCGGUGAAAUGCNUAAAGAUCUGGAGGAAUACCGGUGGCGAAGGGGCCCCCUGGACAANACUGACNCUC